Molecule: non-coding RNA, 123 nt
Organism: Pelobates cultripes (western spadefoot toad)
Lineage: Eukaryota; Metazoa; Chordata; Amphibia; Anura; Pelobatidae
Source: the annotation of a GenBank genome assembly
AGCACACACAGCAGUGUAUGUGUUUGUGUGUGUGUGUAUGUAUCUAUAUAUAUAUAUAUAUAUAUAUAUAUAUAUAUAUAUAGAUACAUACACACACACACACACACACACGGUGGGUGUUUG